GACGAACGCUGGCGGCGUGCUUAGCACAUGCAAGUCGAACGGAAAGGCCCUGCUUUUGUGGGGUGCUCGAGUGGCGAACGGGUGAGUAACACGUGAGUAACCUGCCCUUGACUUUGGGAUAACUUCAGGAAACUGGGGCUAAUACCGGAUAGGAGCUCCUGCUGCAUGGUGGGGGUUGGAAAGUUUCGGCGGUUGGGGAUGGACUCGCGGCUUAUCAGCUUGUUGGUGGGGUAGUGGCUUACCAAGGCUUUGACGGGUAGCCGGCCUGAGAGGGUGACCGGCCACAUUGGGACUGAGAUACGGCCCAGACACCUACGGGAGGCAGCAGUGGGGAAUAUUGCACAAUGGGCGGAAGCCUGAUGCAGCAACGCCGCGUGCGGGAUGACGGCCUUCGGGUUGUAAACCGCUUUCGCCUGUGACGAAGCGUGAGUGACGGUAAUGGGUAAAGAAGCACCGGCUAACUACGUG
This 468-nucleotide ribosomal RNA is filed under the name uncultured bacterium. Its description in RNAcentral is "partial 16S ribosomal RNA". It matches the Rfam family "Bacterial small subunit ribosomal RNA", at positions 28 to 507 of the family's 1533-position model. The record is from RNAcentral.